GGUGAACGCUGGCGGCGUGCUUAAGACAUGCAAGUCGAGCGGGCCGCGGGGUUUUACUCCGUGGUCAGCGGCGGACGGGUGAGUAACGCGUGGGUGACCUACCCGGAAGAGGGGGACAACCCGGGGAAACUCGGGCUAAUCCCCCAUGUGGACCCGCCCCUUGGGGUGUGUCCAAAGGGCUUUGCCCGCUUCCGGAUGGGCCCGCGUCCCAUCAGCUAGUUGGUGGGGUAAUGGCCCACCAAGGCGACGACGGGUAGCCGGCCUGAGGGGGUGGCCGGCCAAAGGGGCACUGAGACACGGGCACCACUCCUACGGGAGGCAGCAGGUAAGAAGCGUCCGCAAUGGGCGCAAGCCUGGCGGAGCGACGCCGCUUGGAGGAAGAAGCCAUUCGGGGUGUAAACUCCUGAACCCGGGACGAAACCCCCGACGAGGGGACUGACGGUACCGGGGUAAUAGCGCCGGCCAACUCCGUG
RNAcentral lists this ribosomal RNA (473 nucleotides) under uncultured bacterium. Its description in RNAcentral is "partial 16S ribosomal RNA". It matches the Rfam family "Bacterial small subunit ribosomal RNA", at positions 28 to 507 of the family's 1533-position model. The record is from RNAcentral.